CGGAGGUACUCGAGUGGCGAACGGGUGAGUAACACGUGGGUGAUCUGCCCUGCACUCUGGGAUAAGCCUGGGAAACUGGGUCUAAUACCGGAUAGGACCAUGCUUUAGUGUGUGUGGUGGAAAGUUUUUUCGGUGUAGGAUGAGCCCGCGGCCUAUCAGCUUGUUGGUGGGGUAAUGGCCUACCAAGGCGGCGACGGGUAGCCGGACUGGGAGGUUGGUCGGCCACAUUGGGACUGAGAUACGGCCCAG
Molecule: ribosomal RNA, 249 nt
Filed under: uncultured Actinomycetales bacterium
Lineage: Bacteria; Bacillati; Actinomycetota; Actinomycetes; Actinomycetales
Description: partial 16S ribosomal RNA
Rfam family: Bacterial small subunit ribosomal RNA
Source: RNAcentral